UGGGGCGUCGGCAAGUGGUUAAAGCCACCGGGUUUUGAUCCCGGCACACGCAGGUUCGAAUCCUGCCGCCCCAG
RNAcentral lists this transfer RNA (74 nucleotides) under Deltaproteobacteria bacterium. RNAcentral's name for it is "tRNA-Gln". It matches the Rfam family "tRNA". From Rfam's summary of the family: Transfer RNA (tRNA) molecules are approximately 80 nucleotides in length. Their secondary structure includes four short double-helical elements and three loops (D, anti-codon, and T loops). The record is from RNAcentral. Lineage: Bacteria; Pseudomonadati; Myxococcota; Myxococcia.